CCUACGGGAGGCAGCAGUGGGGAAUAUUGGGCAAUGGAGGAAACUCUGACCCAGCGACGCCGCGUGCGGGAUGAAGGCCUUCGGGUUGUAAACCGCUUUCAGUAGGGAAGAAGCGAAAGUGACGGUACCUACAAAAGAAGCACCGGCUAACUAUGUGCCAGCAGCCGCGGUAAUACAUAGGGUGCAAGCGUUGUCCGGAAUUAUUGGGCGUAAAGAGCUCGUAGGUCGUUUGUUACGUCGGAUGUGAAAACCUGAGGCUCAACCUCAGGCCUGCAUUCGAUACGGGCAAACUAGAGUUUGGUAGGGGAGACUGGAAUUCCUGGUGUAGCGGUGGAAUGCGCAGAUAUCAGGAGGAACACCAAUGGCGAAGGCAGGUCUCUGGGCCAAUACUGACACUGAGGAGCGAAAGUCUGGGGAGCGAACAGGAUUAGAUACCCUGGUAGUCCAGACCGUAAACGGUGGGCACUAGUUGUGGGAACCUUCCACGGUUUCUGCGACGCAGCUAACGCAUUAAGUGCCCCGCCUGGGGAGUACGAUCGCAAGNUUAAAACUCAAAGGAAUUGACGGCUGAGACGNGCGACGACGACGACGAGGAGAG
RNAcentral lists this ribosomal RNA (598 nucleotides) under uncultured bacterium. RNAcentral's name for it is "bacterial SSU rRNA". It matches the Rfam family "Bacterial small subunit ribosomal RNA", at positions 338 to 960 of the family's 1533-position model. The record is from RNAcentral.